RNAcentral lists this unclassified non-coding RNA (298 nucleotides) under uncultured Chaetomium. RNAcentral's name for it is "sequence contains ITS1". The stretch from base 1 to 105 matches the Rfam family "5.8S ribosomal RNA", at positions 50 to 154 of the family's 154-position model. Lineage: Eukaryota; Fungi; Ascomycota; Sordariomycetes; Sordariales; Chaetomiaceae. The record is from RNAcentral.
GAAAUGCGAUAAGUAAUGUGAAUUGCAGAAUUCAGUGAAUCAUCGAAUCUUUGAACGCACAUUGCGCCCGCCAGUAUUCUGGCGGGCAUGCCUGUUCGAGCGUCAUUUCAACCAUCAAGCCCCCGGCUUGUGCUGGGGACCUGCGGCUGCCGCAGGCCCUGAAAUGCAGUGGCGGGCUCGCUGUCACACCGAGCGUAGUAGUAUUAUCUCGCUUUGGGCGUGCUGCGUGUCCCGGCCGUUAAACGACCUUACACCCAAGGUUGACCUCGGAUCAGGUAGGAAGACCCGCUGAACUUAA